AUUAAAUCUACUACCUGAUUUUCUUAGCUUUGCCUUUAAUUUCAUCUCCUCUGCUUUUCUUUCUCGGGGAAAUGGCAAUUUGGGACCCAUUACUUGACAAUCAAUAUUCUUUUCAUGGAUCCUCGAAAUAAGCCACCAUCAUUGUUUGUAAAAGUUGCCACUAGUGGUUUUGUAAAUUGCAAUAUAUCCUUGUAACAUUGGAAUGUUAGGUUGUAACUGAGGAACCUGCGUGGUGACUUUAAGAGCCGUUGUUGUUAACUUAUUUUUAUUCUCAUUUGGAGAAAUUGAGCCUGAUGAGUUUUAGCUAUUACUCUUUUUUUUUUUUUGGGGGGGGGGGGGCGCUAAUGGGUAAAGCUAUAUGAGUUAUGAGUUCUUAAUUUUCAUUUUCCCUCAUUGCUUUCCUCUGAUUGUGAUAGCAGUGGAUGUCGACAAGGGCUCUUUAUAAAAUAGAAAGUUUAGGAUAGUCAAUAAUUGAAUAGCUAGAAUUAGUUUCAUCCCCUGUAGUUCAUGAAGGGGAAGUUGAAUGCAACGAUAACAGUGGAAUUGCAAUAGAAAUGAUUCUUUCUCACCCCCCCCACAGGGAGGGAAAAAAGACUCUCCUAGCAUCAAUCUAAUAAUAUAAGAGUGAUGGAACUCUUAAAAAAACCUCUAUAUCAUCUCUAUAUAUAUAUAUAAGUAGAAUUGCAAGCUUAGGUCUGGUGAUGUCACGUGUCAUUGAUGUUUUUAUGUUUUAUUAUUUAUUAUUUAAAAUAUAAAUAAAAUCACCUCACCCUCACAUCUCUUUAUUAUCUCUCAAGUUCCUAUUAACUUAUUUGUAAUUCAUAUUUAUAAUUAAAAAAUCUUGUUAACUUAUUUACAAUUCAAAUCUAUAAUUAAGAAAUACCAUAAGCUUAAAUCUGGUGAUGCCACAUGUCAUUGAUAUUUAUACAUUUUAUUAUUCAUUAUUUAAAAUAUAAAUAAAACUACCUCAUUCCCGCAUCUCUCUAUUAUCUCCCAACUUCCUAUUAAGUUAUUUGUAAUUAAAAAAGCACCACAAACUUGAAUAUAGGGAUGCCACAUGUCAUUAAUGUUUAUAUAUUGUAUUAUUCAUGAUUUAAAAUAGAAAUAAAAGUAAUUCACUCGCACGUCUCUCCAUUAUUUCCCAACUUCCUAUUAAUUUAUUUAUAAUU
Prosopis cineraria is the source of this 1169-nucleotide long non-coding RNA. RefSeq lists it as uncharacterized. The transcript has 2 exons. Lineage: Eukaryota; Viridiplantae; Streptophyta; Magnoliopsida; Fabales; Fabaceae. The record is from RefSeq and is a predicted model, not a curated record.